RNAcentral lists this ribosomal RNA (322 nucleotides) under uncultured bacterium. RNAcentral's name for it is "bacterial SSU rRNA". It matches the Rfam family "Bacterial small subunit ribosomal RNA", at positions 18 to 344 of the family's 1533-position model. The record is from RNAcentral.
CAUGGCUCAGAUUGAACGCUGGCGGCAUGCCUUACACAUGCAAGUCGAACGGUAACAGGUCUUCGGACGCUGACGAGUGGCGAACGGGUGAGUAAUACAUCGGAACGUGCCCAGUCGUGGGGGAUAACUACUCGAAAGAGUAGCUAAUACCGCAUACGAUCUGAGGAUGAAAGCGGGGGACCUUCGGGCCUCGCGCGAUUGGAGCGGCCGAUGGCAGAUUAGGUAGUUGGUGGGAUAAAAGCUUACCAAGCCGACGAUCUGUAGCUGGUCUGAGAGGACGACCAGCCACACUGGGACUGAGACACGGCCCAGACUCCUACGG